GGCCCUGUCGUCUAGCCAGGCCUAGGACACAAGGUUUUCAACCUUGCAACACGAGUUCAAAUCUCGUCAGGGUCA
RNAcentral lists this transfer RNA (75 nucleotides) under Candidatus Uabimicrobium amorphum. Its description in RNAcentral is "Uabimicrobium amorphum tRNA". It matches the Rfam family "tRNA". Rfam says of the family: Transfer RNA (tRNA) molecules are approximately 80 nucleotides in length. Their secondary structure includes four short double-helical elements and three loops (D, anti-codon, and T loops). Further hydrogen bonds mediate the characteristic L-shaped molecular structure. tRNAs have two regions of fundamental functional importance: the anti-codon, which is responsible for specific mRNA codon recognition, and the 3' end, to which the tRNAs corresponding amino acid is attached (by aminoacyl-tRNA synthetases). tRNAs cope with the degeneracy of the genetic code in two manners: having more than one tRNA (with a specific anti-codon) for a particular amino acid; and 'wobble' base-pairing, i.e. permitting non-standard base-pairing at the 3rd anti-codon position. Lineage: Bacteria; Pseudomonadati; Planctomycetota; Candidatus Uabimicrobiia; Candidatus Uabimicrobiales; Candidatus Uabimicrobiaceae. The record is from Rfam by way of RNAcentral. RNAcentral also lists the same sequence under 1 other name.